This 248-nucleotide ribosomal RNA is filed under the name uncultured Thauera sp. RNAcentral's name for it is "partial 16S ribosomal RNA". It matches the Rfam family "Bacterial small subunit ribosomal RNA", at positions 1136 to 1382 of the family's 1533-position model. The record is from RNAcentral. Lineage: Bacteria; Pseudomonadati; Pseudomonadota; Betaproteobacteria; Rhodocyclales; Zoogloeaceae.
CACUACUAGUGGACUGCCGGUGACAAACCCGGAGGAAGGUGGGGAUGACGUCAAGUCCUCAUGGCCCUUAUGGGUAGGGCUUCACACGUCAUACAAUGGUCGGUACAGAGGGCUGCCAAGCCGCGAGGUGGAGCCAAUCCCUUAAAGCCGAUCGUAGUCCGGAUCGUAGUCUGCAACUCGACUACGUGAAGUCGGAAUCGCUAGUAAUCGCAGAUCAGCAUGCCGCGGUGAAUACGUUCCCGGGCCUU